Molecule: small nucleolar RNA, 61 nt
Filed under: Carlito syrichta (Philippine tarsier)
Lineage: Eukaryota; Metazoa; Chordata; Mammalia; Primates; Tarsiidae
Description: Small nucleolar RNA U2-30 (ENSTSYG00000030699.1)
Source: RNAcentral
GAGCAAUGAUGAAAAGUUUUACUACUGACCUCUUUGUAACUAUGAAUUUGACCUGAGCUAA